AAUCCCCUACGGGAGGCAGCAGUGAGGAAUAUUGGUCAAUGGGCGGUAGCCUGAACCAGCCAAGUAGCGUGAAGGAUGAAGGUUCUAUGGAUUGUAAACUUCUUUUAUAAAGGAAUAAAGUGAGGCACGUGUGCCUUUUUGUAUGUACUUUAUUAAUAAGGAUCGGCUAACUCCGUGCCAGCAGCCGCGGUAAUACGGAGGAUCCGAGCGUUAUCCGGCUUUAUUGGGUUUAAAGGGAGCGUAGAUGGGUUGUUAAGUCAGUUGUGAAAGUUUGCGGCUCAACCGUCACAUUGCAAUUGCUACUG
Molecule: ribosomal RNA, 305 nt
Filed under: uncultured bacterium
Lineage: Bacteria
Description: bacterial SSU rRNA
Rfam family: Bacterial small subunit ribosomal RNA
Source: RNAcentral